This 680-nucleotide ribosomal RNA is filed under the name Kitasatospora aureofaciens. RNAcentral describes it as "bacterial SSU rRNA". It matches the Rfam family "Bacterial small subunit ribosomal RNA", at positions 352 to 1044 of the family's 1533-position model. Lineage: Bacteria; Bacillati; Actinomycetota; Actinomycetes; Kitasatosporales; Streptomycetaceae. The record is from RNAcentral.
CAGUGGGGAAUAUUGCACAAUGGGCGAAAGCCUGAUGCAGCGACGCCGCGUGAGGGAUGACGGCCUUCGGGUUGUAAACCUCUUUCAGCAGGGAAGAAGCGAGAGUGACGGUACCUGCAGAAGAAGCGCCGGCUAACUACGUGCCAGCAGCCGCGGUAAUACGUAGGGCGCGAGCGUUGUCCGGAAUUAUUGGGCGUAAAGAGCUCGUAGGCGGCUUGUCGCGUCGGUUGUGAAAGCCCGGGGCUUAACCCCGGGUCUGCAGUCGAUACGGGCAGGCUAGAGUUCGGUAGGGGAGAUCGGAAUUCCUGGUGUAGCGGUGAAAUGCGCAGAUAUCAGGAGGAACACCGGUGGCGAAGGCGGAUCUCUGGGCCGAUACUGACGCUGAGGAGCGAAAGCGUGGGGAGCGAACAGGAUUAGAUACCCUGGUAGUCCACGCCGUAAACGGUGGGCACUAGGUGUGGGCGACAUUCCACGUCGUCCGUGCCGCAGCUAACGCAUUAAGUGCCCCGCCUGGGGAGUACGGCCGCAAGGCUAAAACUCAAAGGAAUUGACGGGGGCCCGCACAAGCGGCGGAGCAUGUGGCUUAAUUCGACGCAACGCGAAGAACCUUACCAAGGCUUGACAUACACCGGAAAGCAUCAGAGAUGGUGCCCCCCUUGUGGUCGGUGUACAGGUGGUGC